GACGAACGCUGGCGGCGUGCCUAACACAUGCAAGUCGAGCGAUGAAGCUCCUUCGGGAGUGGAUUAGCGGCGGACGGGUGAGUAACACGUGGGCAACCUGCCUCAAAGUGGGGAAUAGCCCUCCGAAAGGAGGAUUAAUACCGCAUAACAUGAAGGAAUCGCAUGGUACCUUCAUUAAAGAUUUAUCGCUUUGAGAUGGGCCCGCGGCGCAUUAGCUAGUUGGUGAGGUAACGGCUCACCAAGGCGACGAUGCGUAGCCGACCUGAGAGGGUGAUCGGCCACAUUGGAACUGAGACACGGUCCAGACUCCUACGGGAGGCAGCAGUGGGGAAUAUUGCGCAAUGGGGGAAACCCUGACGCAGCAACGCCGCGUGAGUGAUGAAGGUCUUCGGAUUGUAAAACUCUGUCUUCAGGGACGAUAAUGACGGUACCUGAGGAGGAAGCCACGGCUAACUACGUG
RNAcentral lists this ribosomal RNA (460 nucleotides) under uncultured bacterium. Its description in RNAcentral is "bacterial SSU rRNA". It matches the Rfam family "Bacterial small subunit ribosomal RNA", at positions 28 to 507 of the family's 1533-position model. The record is from RNAcentral.